GACGAACGCUGGCGGCGUGCCUAAUACAUGCAAGUAGAACGCUGAAGGAGGAGCUUGCUUCUCUGGAUGAGUUGCGAACGGGUGAGUAACGCGUAGGUAACCUGCCUGGUAGCGGGGGAUAACUAUUGGAAACGAUAGCUGAUACCGCAUAAUAGUAGAUGUCGCAUGACAUUUGCUUAAAAGGUGCAAUUGCAUCACUACCAGAUGGACCUGCGUUGUAUUAGCUAGUUGGUGAGGUAACGGCUCACCAAGGCAACGAUACAUAGCCGACCUGAGAGGGUGAUCGGCCACACUGGGACUGAGACACGGCCCAGACUCCUACGGGAGGCAGCAGUAGGGAAUCUUCGGCAAUGGACGGAAGUCUGACCGAGCAACGCCGCGUGAGUGAAGAAGGUUUUCGGAUCGUAAAGCUCUGUUGUAAGAGAAGAACGAGUGUGAGAGUGGAAAGUUCACACUGUGACGGUAUCUUACCAGAAAGGGACGGCUAACUACGUG
RNAcentral lists this ribosomal RNA (495 nucleotides) under uncultured bacterium. Its description in RNAcentral is "partial 16S ribosomal RNA". It matches the Rfam family "Bacterial small subunit ribosomal RNA", at positions 28 to 507 of the family's 1533-position model. The record is from RNAcentral.